Long non-coding RNA from Cuculus canorus (common cuckoo), 4408 nucleotides. RefSeq lists it as uncharacterized. The transcript is spliced from 3 exons. The record is from RefSeq and is a predicted model, not a curated record. Lineage: Eukaryota; Metazoa; Chordata; Aves; Cuculiformes; Cuculidae.
UCCCCUUUAAUAGGCUGUUCAAGGAACUAGGCUUGUGUGUGUCAUAGGAUUUUAUAGCAACAGUCUUUCUAUAGGUCCCCGUGCUUUCAGCAAAUAACAGAGAAGCCGGCUUGCCUCAGAUGCAAACUAGGUUCUGUUUAUUUUAUGCAUGCAUACAGUCAGCGUUAUCUGCAGUUUGUCAGAUUAUGGUGCUGUUCAUUUAGCUGCUUUGUACCUAUACACACAGAGAUAUAUAAAAAGUAUAUGAAAAGUAUAUUAAUAUAAUUCUAUCUCAACAUAUUCGAUUCUUAAAUGCUACAUAUACUUGUUUAAUCUCUCAUUUUAGAAGUAGGAAAGGUUAGAUUAUAACAUCAGGUUAGCUCUCUUUGAAGCAGGUAAUAAUUAAGUUGAUUCACUGUUGCAAUUACUGUCAAAUCCCCCUUAAUUACCACGGAUUUUAUAGCAGCUUCAUUAUACGUCUGCUGUAAUGCAUUGUGGCCCAAAGGAGAAGUGUUGCAGGAAAUUCUGCAUAGCAUGUAUAAUUCUAACCUGCAGUUAAAGCUUCUAGUGAAAGCCUCUGCACUAAAUUUAUCUUUUUUUGACACUUUUUCCCCUAUUAUUUAAAGCAGUUGGACACGAGUAGCACCACUAAAAUAUACACCUAACUUCAUAAGUGAAAAUUGAUCUCUUCACAGGUAUUAGGAAUAAAAAAUGGAGAAAUUAUAAAAUUAGCUGUGAAUUAUUCUUGGGAAACUGCUCAGCAAAAAUGAAGAACACUUCUGGUCUGGCACCAUGGCGGGGAGGAAACUUCUGUCCCAUUCUGCACAUCAACCCCCCCGAACAACCUUUUCUCACUUAAGUAGUCCCAGUGAAUACAGUUUUUAAGGCAGUAAGAAUAGGCCGGAUGGGUCUGCUGUACAUCAGUAUUUUCAUCCAUUGUUCAUUUUGCAUUUUAUAAACUGGAUUAUACAAAUAUAACGUUUGGAUGGUUGCUUGGAUGGUUGUUAUUUUGUAGCUUGAUGGUUGUUAUUUUGCCUGCACACUGAAUACACUGCUCCAGUAUACUAUAAAAAUAUUUUAUUAAAAUAGCAAUUUGGACAAUAGUAACACCUAUUUUAUUAUCAAUCGCACAAGAAUUUUUAAAACAACUCUUUUUUAGCACUGACCUUCCAACUAACUUUCUAACAACAGAGCCUCCUGAAACUGCUGCUUUAUGGCUCAAGUGUCACUGCUUGUUUCCAUUGGAAAAAUCUUUACAAAUCAGGGUCUGUAAAUCGAGCCUGCAACAGUUCAAAACAGAUAACUGCAUAACGCGUCCCAUGGAUUCUCUUGUAACGAAGGAAUUUACUCCACGGAAUAUAUUAGAUGCAGAAAGGGCUUCAGUGUCAGUGACACUAUUGGCAGCUGUGUUAACAGUUAAGGAGCUGUCUUUGUACAGCAGUACAGUUAUUAAAUUUCUCCAGAGACCAUGACUCAUUAAUCAAAUAUUCAUACAUCUCUGUAAAUACACACUGAACAGAGAAUACCCUUAGAGUUGAGCAUCCCAGCACAAGUGCUCUUUCAUGUAACACUGACAAAAUCCUGAGAACAUGCGGUCAUGUUUUGCAUUUCUAAUGCUGUAUGUACUCUUUAGUACCCUAAUUCCUAAAAACAGAACACAAAUGAUCUUACUGAUCGCAAGUGUUACACAGUCACAAUUAAAAUUGCUUCACUAUUGCUUCAUGCCAUCUUUUUAAAAGUGAAGACAGUGAAUCGAUUCUUCUGUUCUUUGUUUACCAUCAGACAAGUAACUUUUUCCCAUACGGACAGAGAAACCCAAGGCCAUGCUCCUAUUAAUACAAGAAUUUGUAUUAGCAUGAAAACAACAAACCACUGGUUGAACUGUGAAGGCCAAAGAACUUCAUAUAUUUGCAAAGACAUGAGCUUGUUGUAUUUAACAAAUACUGUAUUUUGUGUUGCCACACUGCCAUAAAACUGCAUCUCUUCUCACCUGCUCCAGGGGAGGCACAAACACGCCUGGGCUGAAGUUUUGACCUUGGUCAGGUUGAGAUCACAGUUCAGAGCCGAGGCACCUCUCUGUGAUCAGCUGAAGCUCUUCUCUACAAGACUUUGAAAAAAAUCAGUUUUUGUUUGAGCUCCCCAUCCCGAUGCAUUCAUAUCUUGGACUUGAGUUCUGACUGUUGCAAGCGCUGGUCUGUACUUCUGAUUCAGGCUGUCUGUGGGUUGAAGGAGUCAGAUGACUUUAUAGUGUUAUUUGUAAAUGGGGGUAAUCAUCUUGCUGAAUGCAGAUUUUUUAAAUUCUGUACUGCUGUGCUGUGCUGAAUUCAAGGGGAAAAGAGAAUGUAAGGGAACAACCUGAGUCUUCAAGUCCAACUCCCUGAAAGUGUGGACAACACAAAAUCCCAAGUGGUCUUGACAAGAGAAGGAGGAUUUACAGAUAAAUCCUGGAAAGAGUUAAGAGGCUGUCGAUAACUUUGGAAAUAAAUCAGGUCUCCAGAGAGAAUCCAUUUUCUUACUGUAAUUAAUGGUAAAGAGGCGAUCCCUUCCCUGCCUCACCAAAUACCUGUGGUGUCCAUCUGGCUGCACUGUGAAAAACUGAAGUAGCCCCCUCCUUCCCGUUCCCAACGCUUCUUGGUUUGGAAGGAGAAGUUUGCUGCUGGGAUGGCAGAGCUACAUUUUUAACACUUACGUACUCUGGCUCUUCUAUUUCCAUCUGACCAUUCCUGUUACAAGAACACCAAACCAAAGGUCUUUUGAGUAGCAGCUCAUUUCUGGAGACACAGCUUAGGUGAGUAUGUGCACAUGGGUUUUUUUAAGGUACCUGAACUUCGGCCACUGGAGCUCAUAAGGCAAAUCCAUGCUUUAGUCCCAGUUGCUACUGCAGCACAGAGGUGCCCACGAUGUGCUUGCAAGCAUGCAGCAGACCAACAGGUACAAAGGCCCAGACAUAGAAAGCUCGCAGGAUUGCCAAGCCCAAGCAGUUUUGUUUUGGUCUGAUGACAAAAUGUAGUCACCUAAUUUUCUUAUUGUGUGUAUUUGCAGAACCAUUCUUCUGCUUUUUCUCUGCCUGUUUCCACACACAGGUGUACUUGGUGACCAGUAUGGGAAGAGUCAUUCCUUGACACAUUCCUGACUGCCAGGCCUGUUCCCAGUAACACCACAAAGGCUGAAGUCUGCAAUGGGGUAGGAUGGAUAAAGUCUUUCAAAAGAGAAGUGGGUCUUUGUCUAUAGGAUUAAGACAUGUAUCAGUGUUGUACAGUAACUUUCACUUAAAAAAAAUCAAAAUAGCACAAAAUUGGGAAAGACAUCCACUGUACAGCUAUGUAUUUUUCUUAGCGUCAGGUAACUCAGCACCACUUUCAACUUUGUUACAAAUAUUGCAGACUCCCGUGCAUGAAAGUCUCUGAAGCUUAUUACAUUUUAUUAUUAUUACUACAACAACAGAAGCUGUAAGUGGAAAAGAUAUUAUUGAUUCAACUAAUCUGCUGAAUGCAGAUUGCUCUUUACUGCACAUUUGUUGGCCUUCAGGCCAGCCUGCUUUUUAACAGCCUUCCCUGGUAAGACUGCAACAAUUCUAGGUGAGAAUAUUACACAGCCUUGUAUUCCCCUGCAGGAAGCUUUUCCUUGAGCAUCUUUCCCCUCCCCAAGGAUGCCUGUCCUUUUAUCCUUCCCUCUGACUCCUCUCCCCCUUGCCAGUGCACACACACUACCUGUUUGUAAAUUAUGGCAAUUCCCUCUCUCUUCAGCUAUAGAGUAACAAAGCCACACAGCUCCAGGCUAAAUCUGCCUUAAAUCCAUCCCUGCAGGCUCCUGAUCCUCUGCGCACUUUAAUUAGUUAAUGCCUUCCUUGUCAAAAAGUAAGCAGAAAGGACAGCACCAGUGAAACCAGACCGUACCGAUUAUAUCCCCCUGUUCUACAACAGAAGCCGUUAAUGGUGCAGCACAGGAUUGCAUUUUUUUUAAACGUGAAAGCAAAGCACAACUUCGUAUCUAAUUUCCUGUGCGCUGCCACCCAAAGGAACCCCUCAGUGGCUCUGCAUUAUCUUUGCUAAAGCUACAUUAACUUGUGCUUCACUAACAGCAUUCUUCUCUUUCCUGGCUCUCACUGACAUUCACAAUUCUCCUCAUUUUGACAUCUAAAUUCCAUAAAUAUGUUGUUUACUCCCUCUUCUGGGCUAUUAAUGAAAAAUAUUAAGUAAGAUCAAGCCAAACAUCCUCCCAUACAUGCAGCAUCCAAAAGUAAUAUUAUGCCAAUUAUUAGUAGGAUUCAACAGUGCAGAGGUUACUAAUUUAGACAAAUGAUGCAUGUGGGGUUUUUUUCCUGAAAACAAGUGAACACAAUCUCAUUUUGGAUUUUUGGGACAUUAACUCAAUUAACACGUGCAAGUGCCCACCCGCGCCGUGACAUACAUACAGACCUGAUUGAGUU